AUGACUGCCGAAGACAGCAGGUGCUUUUGAUUAGCGUAAGUGAUAGACACGCCUGCCGAGGAUGAUAUGAGAUUCGAUUUCUAUGAAUUUAUACAACCUCUGCGUCUUACGGACCGGAGGUUUUUUAUAUG
This 131-nucleotide small RNA is filed under the name [Clostridium] hylemonae. RNAcentral describes it as "Ribosomal protein L10 leader". It matches the Rfam family "Ribosomal protein L10 leader", at positions 12 to 134 of the family's 138-position model. Rfam says of the family: This family is a putative r-protein leader autoregulatory structure found in B. subtilis and other low-GC Gram-positive bacteria. It is located in the 5' untranslated regions of mRNAs encoding ribosomal proteins L10 and L12 (rplJ-rplL). Lineage: Bacteria; Bacillati; Bacillota; Clostridia; Lachnospirales; Lachnospiraceae. The record is from RNAcentral.